GGGACACGUGGUAUCCUGUCUGAAUAUGGGGGGACCAUCCUCCAAGGCUAAAUACUCCUGACUGACCGAUAGUGAACCAGUACCGUGAGGGAAAGGCGAAAAGAACCCCGGCGAGGGGAGUGAAAAAGAACCUGAAACCGUGUACGUACAAGCAGUGGGAGCCUCUUAAUGGGGUGACUGCGUACCUUUUGUAUAAUGGGUCAGCGACUUAUAUUCUGUAGCAAGGUUAACCGAAUAGGGGAGCCGAAGGGAAACCGAGUCUUAACUGGGCGUUAAGUUGCAGGGUAUAGACCCGAAACCCGGUGAUCUAGCCAUGGGCAGGUUGAAGGUUGGGUAACACUAACUGGAGGACCGAACCGACUAAUGUUGAAAAAUUAGCGGAUGACUUGUGGCUGGGGGUGAAAGGCCAAUCAAACCGGGAGAUAGCUGGUUCUCCCCGAAAGCUAUUUAGGUAGCGCCUCGUGAAUUCAUCUCCGGGGGUAGAGCACUGUUUCGGCAAG
Molecule: ribosomal RNA, 500 nt
Filed under: Escherichia coli
Lineage: Bacteria; Pseudomonadati; Pseudomonadota; Gammaproteobacteria; Enterobacterales; Enterobacteriaceae
Description: partial 23S ribosomal RNA
Rfam family: Bacterial large subunit ribosomal RNA
Source: RNAcentral